This is a long non-coding RNA of Notolabrus celidotus (New Zealand spotty), 1714 nucleotides long. RefSeq lists it as uncharacterized. NCBI's taxonomy places the organism in Eukaryota, Metazoa, Chordata, Actinopteri, Labriformes, Labridae. The record is from RefSeq and is a predicted model, not a curated record. The transcript is spliced from 4 exons.
CACUCUGUGGGGAAGACUCCACACAGGCAAACGCAGAUCACCACAGAAGUGUAGAUCCACAAUGACUGAUGAGCACCUUGUGGCUUGCCUCCACCUUGCAACCUGCUCCUACUGCCCUGCUUAUGAAAAGUUAGCUGCCUCCUCCCAGUGCAAGAGAUCCCACUAAGGGUCCUGUCCAUCUCAUAUUGGAGCCAGUCUUCAUGCCAAGAGUCCUGUCCAUCUUCUACUGAAGGGUCCUAAUGUUUCUGUUCAUCUUCAUCCUGAAGUCUGGCUUCAUGUUGGUGGAUCCUGUCCGUCUCAAGCUGAAGGGUCCUGUCCACAUCCAUGUCAAUGAAUCAAGUCUAUGUUUGUGUCCGAGUGUCCUGUCUGUCUCCAUGAUGAAGGUUUCUGUCCGUCUUCAAGCUGAAGGGUCCUCCUCAUCUGUUAAAUGGAGGGUCCUGUCUGUCUGUGUGAAGUAGUUUUCCUCUUUCCACUGCCGAAGUGUCCACUGCCCUGCCAGACGCAAUGGCUACAUGAGGCCUCGCCGGUCCUGCCAGAGCUACCCGAGGUAUCACCGAUCCCACCAGAUGCAGAGACCGGCCCCGGGAUCCAAGAAAUGUGGAUCCAUCAUACUUAAGUCAAAGAGUGUAUCCAGAAAAGCCCCAGUGCAAAACGCUACCGGGGAAGUGACAGCCCUGCCAGACGUAAAGGCCACCUGGGGCUUUGCUUGCUCAGCCUGACGCAAAAGCAAGUCUGCAGGAUUUAGAAAAGGGUCUCUUUAAUGUCCCUGCAGUAAAUAAAGUUCAGGUUUGCCAGUCGCAAGGGCUACCAUUGGGAACUAAUGACCCUGACCCCAGGUGUGAAUUAUGAUCCCAUGAGAACUCUCAGCCUUUCUCUUUAAGAGUCAGUCUGAGUCACUCUCAUGGAAUCACCUGCAGCUAUUGGAAGCCAGCCCGUCUGCUUCAUCAUCACUGUCCUCCCUGCCAUGUCUUCUGGAGCUGCUUGAGCCUUCAGAUGAGGGAUGCUCGAUCUCCUACCAGGAGUCAGAGGAAGAGUCCUCGUACUCCUCAGAGCCGCUAGAGGAUUCCAUGCUCUCAAAAGCAUCCUGGACCUCCUCCACAAAAGUAAGUCAGAGGAAGAGUCCUCAUACUCCUCAGGGCUGCUAGAGGAUUCCAUGCUCUCAAAAGCAUCCUGGAUCUCCUCCCAAAAGUAAGUCAGAGGAAGAGUCCUUGUACUCCUCAGAGCCGCUAGGGGAUUCCAUGCUCUCAAAAGCAUCCUCCAUCUCCUCCCUUACAUCAGAGAAUGAAGAAGAGUCCUCCUCUGAUGAAGGGUGGCAAUGCAUGUGCAUGUUCAUCAGGCUGUCCAGGAAAGGAGUGAUGACCCAAGGUCAGAUGAUAAGAGGAACUCGUGGUUAUCAGCUCUGCUUUAAGGACAGCUGAGGGCCAAGAAACAAUACACACACACAUCAUGUUCAUAAUGAAAAAUAGUGAACAAUAGAUAGUUUGUCUGGAAGACGUGUAUCAUUUAAUACAUACGUGUUCGAAAUUAGGGCCAAUGGGAGACAGCUGCGUAUUGGCACCCAAUUGUACACCUCUCAAGCUUAUACUCUAUAUAAGAUUAUCACAUCCAGGAUUCAGGGCUCAUUUUUCUCAUUUCCUGCGGGAGCUCUGUCAUUUUGAGACCAGCGCUGUACUUCUUUACCUGUGACCACAAUAAAUGUUUCCUGAGACCUGAA